UACAGAGGUCUCAAGCGUUGUUCGGAUUCAUUGGGCGUAAAGGGCGCGUAGGCGGCGGUGUAAGUCGGUUGUGAAAUCUCAGAGCUCAACUCUGAAACUGCACUCGAUACUGCUCUGCUUGAGGACUGGAGAGGAGACUGGAAUUUACGGUGUAGCGGUGAAAUGCGUAGAUAUCGUAAGGAAGACCAGUGGCGAAGGCGGGUCUCUGGACAGUUCCUGACGCUGAGGCACGAAGGCCAGGGGAGCAAACGGG
RNAcentral lists this ribosomal RNA (253 nucleotides) under uncultured bacterium. RNAcentral describes it as "partial 16S ribosomal RNA". It matches the Rfam family "Bacterial small subunit ribosomal RNA", at positions 524 to 776 of the family's 1533-position model. The record is from RNAcentral.